GUCGCCAUAGCACAACGGAUAGUGCGAGGACCUUCUAAGUCCAGGAUGCGGGUUCGAUUCCUGCUGGCGAUACCA
Molecule: transfer RNA, 75 nt
Filed under: Massilia sp. IC2-278
Lineage: Bacteria; Pseudomonadati; Pseudomonadota; Betaproteobacteria; Burkholderiales; Oxalobacteraceae
Description: tRNA-Arg
Rfam family: tRNA
About the family: Transfer RNA (tRNA) molecules are approximately 80 nucleotides in length.
Source: RNAcentral